This 253-nucleotide ribosomal RNA is filed under the name uncultured bacterium. RNAcentral's name for it is "partial 16S ribosomal RNA". It matches the Rfam family "Bacterial small subunit ribosomal RNA", at positions 524 to 776 of the family's 1533-position model. The record is from RNAcentral.
GCCGUAGGGCGCGAAUGUUGUCCGGACUCACUGGGCGUAAAGGGCGCGCAGGCGGUAGCGUGCGUCGGUGCUGAAAGCGCCCCGCUUAACGGGGCGAGGCGUGCCGAUACCACGCAACUGGAGGCAGGCAGAGGGUGGCGGAAUUCAGGGUGUAGUGGCGAAAUGCGUAGAGACCCGGAGGAACGCCGGUGGCGCAAGCGGCCACCUGGGCCUGUCCUGACGCUGAGGCGCGAAAGCGUGGGGAGCGAACCGG